GACGAACGCUGGCGGCGUGCCUAAUACAUGCAAGUAGAACGCUGAAGGAGGAGCUUGCUUCUCUGGAUGAGUUGCGAACGGGUGAGUAACGCGUAGGUAACCUGCCUGGUAGCGGGGGAUAACUAUUGGAAACGAUAGCUAAUACCGCAUAAUAGCAGUUGUUGCAUGACAACUGUUUGAAAGGUGCAAUUGCACCACUACCAGAUGGACCUGCGUUGUAUUAGCUAGUUGGUGGGGUAACGGCUCACCAAGGCGACGAUACAUAGCCGACCUGAGAGGGGGAUCGGCCAAACUGGGACUGGGACACGGCCCAGGCUCCUACGGGAGGCAGCAGGAGGGAAUCUUCGGCAAUGGACGGAAGUCUGACCGAGCAACGCCGCGGGAGUGAAGAAGGUUGUCGGAUCGUAAAGCUCUGUUGUAAGGGAAGAAAGAGGGUGAGAGUGGAAAGUUCACACUGUGACGGUAUCUUACCAGAAAGGGACGGCUAACUACGUG
This 495-nucleotide ribosomal RNA is filed under the name uncultured bacterium. RNAcentral's name for it is "partial 16S ribosomal RNA". It matches the Rfam family "Bacterial small subunit ribosomal RNA", at positions 28 to 507 of the family's 1533-position model. The record is from RNAcentral.